RNAcentral lists this ribosomal RNA (478 nucleotides) under uncultured bacterium. Its description in RNAcentral is "partial 16S ribosomal RNA". It matches the Rfam family "Bacterial small subunit ribosomal RNA", at positions 28 to 507 of the family's 1533-position model. The record is from RNAcentral.
GACGAACGCUGGUGGCGUGCUUAACAUAUGCAAGUCGAACGGGAUUUAGUAAACAGAAGCCUCGGUGGAAGAUUACUAAUGAGAGUGGCGAACGGGUGAGUAACGCGUGAGCAACCUGCCUAUGACAGUGGGAUAGCCUCGGGAAACCGGGAUUAAUACCGCAUAAAAUCGUAGAAACACAUGUUUUAACGGUCAAAGAUUUAUCGGUCAUAGAUGGGCUCGCGUCUGAUUAGCUAGUUGGUGAGAUAACAGCCCACCAAGGCGACGAUCAGUAGCCGGUCUGAGAGGAUGAACGGCCACAUUGGAACUGAGACACGGUCCAAACUCCUACGGGAGGCAGCAGUGGGGAAUAUUGCACAAUGGGGGAAACCCUGAUGCAGCGACGCCGCGUGAACGAAGAAGGUAUUCGUAUCGUAAAGUUCUGUCCUAUGGGAAGAUAAUGACAGUACCAGAGAAGAAAGCUCCGGCUAAAUACGUG